GACGAACGCNGGCGGCGUGCUUAACACAUGCAAGUCGAACGGAGCGAAUGAAAGCUUGCUUUUAUAAGCUUAGUGGCAAACGGGUGAGUAACACGUAGACAACCUGCCGACAGGAUGGGGACAACAUUCCGAAAGGAAUGCUAAUACCGAAUGAAGUGCAGGGGAGGCAUCUCCCCUGCAUGAAAGAUGGCCUCUUUUUAUGCUAUCACCUGUUGAUGGGUCUGCGUCUGAUUAGCUGGUAGGUGAGGUAACGGCUCACCUAGGCGACGAUCAGUAGCCGGUCUGAGAGGAUGAACGGCCACAUUGGGACUGAGACACGGCCCAGACUCCUACGGGAGGCAGCAGUGGGGAAUCUUCCGCAAUGGGCGCAAGCCUGACGGAGCAACGCCGCGUGAGUGAAGAAGGUCUUCGGAUCGUAAAGCUCUGUUGAUGGGGACGAACGUGCCUAAUGCGAAUAGUAUUAGGUAANGAC
Molecule: ribosomal RNA, 472 nt
Filed under: uncultured bacterium
Lineage: Bacteria
Description: bacterial SSU rRNA
Rfam family: Bacterial small subunit ribosomal RNA
Source: RNAcentral